Molecule: long non-coding RNA, 777 nt
Filed under: Vigna radiata
Lineage: Eukaryota; Viridiplantae; Streptophyta; Magnoliopsida; Fabales; Fabaceae
Description: long non-coding RNA (VRAD_LNC005205)
Source: RNAcentral
GCAAAUGUCAAAGUUGACAACAUUCUAUUUUACACGAGUAGUUGGGCUUUGAAGCAAAAGAUGAGAGUUUCUCUUCCUUUUAGUGGAAGAGAAGGAUGAAUGAGUAGGAAACCAAAAGCAAAUAGAAGGAAGGUGAGGUGUUUUAAGGUGAAUGAGUUUUGGUUUUAAGCAAGGUGUGGUGUUUGAGGUUAGUCAUGAAAACAAAAGAAAAGCGAAAAGUAGAAAAAAGAGUUAAGUAGAGGAUUAGUUGUAUGUAUGUACAUGAAUUGGUAUAAAUUGAGAAUGAGUAGAUGUAAGUUGUGGGGAAAAGAAAGAAGAAUAAUAUUGUGAAGUGAGUUUGAUAAAUGAGAAUGGAAGAAAUGGAAGGAAUGUACAUGUGGGUUAUGUGGAGUUUGAAAAGAGAGGAAAUUAAGUGUUUUGAAUAUUUUUGAUAGUUGAAAUAAAAGAGAAAAAGUGGAAAAUUGAGAGAUUGGGAAGAUUUAGUAAUUCUGUAAAAUUAAAACUUAUGGACCCACGUGGGGCCCACGUUGGUGGGAGAGUAAUUUUAUUCUUUUAGGAGCGUAAACUUAUUAAGUUCAGAAGGGUGCCUCAAUCAAGCUAUUUAAAACAAUUUUUGAGAAUUUUUGGUUAUAUUGUUGGUCUACUUUUGGUUGGUUUUAUAUAUAUUUUUAAGAAUAUGUAUGAGUUUGUGAUUGAGCAUGGUUGUUUUGUUGGUCUACAUUUUUUGUUGGUUUAUAUAUGUUAUUGAGAAUAUGUAUGAAUUCCUUAUUGAGCACA